This 497-nucleotide ribosomal RNA is filed under the name uncultured bacterium. RNAcentral describes it as "partial 16S ribosomal RNA". It matches the Rfam family "Bacterial small subunit ribosomal RNA", at positions 28 to 507 of the family's 1533-position model. The record is from RNAcentral.
GAUGAACGCUGGCGGUGUGCCUAACACAUGCGAGUCGAGCGACCGCAUAAUGAGCUUUCUCCUUUACGGUUGGCGAGUGACGGACGAGUUAGACGUGCAUCACCUUCUUCUUUUUCUUGGGUGAUUUCGUGAAGCCGGUUACACUAAUAGCUCAUACAUCCUACGGCUUAGAUCAAUGGAUCUUCGCGCCUUGCGCGAUUCAAUUAGCCGGAUCCGGGUCGGAUUAGCUAGUUGGUAAGGUAACGGCUUACCAAGGCGACGAUACGUAGCCGACCUGAGAGGAUGAUCAGCCACACUGGAACUGAGACACGGUCCAGACUCCUACGGGAGGCAGCAGUGGGGAAUAUUGGGCAAUGGGCGAAAGCCUGAUCGAGCAAUGCCGCGUGAGUGAAGAAGGUCUUCGGGUUGUAAAGCCCUUUUAUUAGGAAAGAAAAGAAGUAGAUGAAUACGUGGACGUUUUGACGGUACCUAAAGAGAAAGCAACGGCUAACUACGUG